RNAcentral lists this ribosomal RNA (433 nucleotides) under uncultured bacterium. RNAcentral's name for it is "partial 16S ribosomal RNA". It matches the Rfam family "Bacterial small subunit ribosomal RNA", at positions 29 to 507 of the family's 1533-position model. The record is from RNAcentral.
AACGAACGCUGGCGGCAUGCCUAACACAUGCAAGUCGAACGACACCUUCGGGUCUAGUGGCGCACGGGUACGUAACGCGUGGGAACCUGCCCUUAGGUUCGGAAUAACUCCCCUAAGGGGGUGCUAAUACCGGAUAAUGUCUUCGGACCAAAGAUUUAUCGCCGUUGGAUGGGCCCGCGUUGGUUUAGCUAGUUGGUAGGGUAAAAGCCUACCAAGGCGACGAUCCAUAGCUGGUCUGAGAGGAUGAUCAGCCACACUGGGACUGAGACACGGCCCAGACUCCUACGGGAGGCAGCAGUGGGGAAUAUUGGACAAUGGGCGAAAGCCUGAUCCAGCAAGGCCGGGUGAGUGAUGAAGGCCUUAGGGUAGUAAAGCUCUUUUACCCGGGAUGAUAAUGACAGUACCGGGAGAAUAAGCACCGGCUAACUCCGUG